UCCUACGGGAGGCAGCAGUAAGGAAUAUUCCACAAUGAGCGAAAGCUUGAUGGAGCGACACAGAGUGCAGGAUGAAGUCUUUAGGGAUGUAAACUGCUGUUGUAAGGGAAGAAAAAACUAGAUAGGAAAUGAUUUAGUCUUGACGGUACCUUAUUAGAAAGUGACGACAAACUAUGUGCCAGCAGCCGCGGUAAUACAUAGGUCGCAAGCGUUAUCCGGAAUUAUUGGGCGUAAAGCGUCCGCAGGUUUUUUGUUAAGUUUAAGGUUAAAUGCUAAAGCUCAACUUUAGUUCGCUUUAGAUACUGACAAAAUAGAAUUAUGAAGAGGUUAGCGGAAUUCCUAGUGGAGCGGUGGAAUGCGUAGAUAUUAGGAAGAACACCAAUAGGCGAAGGCAGCUAACUGGUCAUAUAUUGACACUAAUGGACGAAAGCGUGGGGAGCAAACAGGAUUAGAUACCCUGGUAGUCC
Molecule: ribosomal RNA, 467 nt
Filed under: uncultured bacterium
Lineage: Bacteria
Description: bacterial SSU rRNA
Rfam family: Bacterial small subunit ribosomal RNA
Source: RNAcentral